Callithrix jacchus (white-tufted-ear marmoset) is the source of this 2388-nucleotide long non-coding RNA. RefSeq lists it as uncharacterized. NCBI's taxonomy places the organism in Eukaryota, Metazoa, Chordata, Mammalia, Primates, Cebidae. The record is from RefSeq and is a predicted model, not a curated record.
CAACAUUUUAUUUAGCUCUUUGGUGCCAGCACAGUGCCAAUGUACCCAUAUGCACACCCCCUCCCCCAAGGCUUACAGUCUGAGGAAAAAACACACAGUCCCCACCCAGCCUGGGACGAAACUAGACGACCUCAUUGCGGGGGCGGAGAGGGAGUGGCCGCCCCCACCAAGGAAGCCAGAGAAGCCACCAGGGCACACAGGCCGCCUCUCCUAAGUCUGUGGGUUCCCUCUGGGCUGAGCGCCGGCAGCAGUCUGGUCUCCCAUCCCUUCCUCUGGGUUCCUUUCUCAAGGGCCAAGGGCGCUCGGGAUUGUAUUUGAGGCCAUCUGGUGGAGAGCAGGGCAUAUAACCGAGGGAUCAAAGCCGAGCUCGCCUCCCGCGGACUCGGAGACUGGGCUGCGCCUGCGGCGAGGAGGGACGGACCAGAGACACCUGAGGCCGGGCGGGAGCCAGACCCAGGGAUGACAGUCCUGGGGUGACCCCCCUGCACCCCGGAGGGAACGCAGCGCGCCCAGAGCAGUCCCAGGUCCUGCCCCUCGCUGCACCCGCGGAGCUCCUCAGGGCUUUACAUCUAGAAGGAGGUCUGAGACUGUCUAUUGAAUUAGCAGCAGCAGCCAUCAGCCAACAAGGGAAGCCAUCUCUUCAUGGAAAGGAAUACCUCUUCGAUUACAAGAGUCCGGCCAUCCUCGAUUCCAGCUCCUGCCCAUCCUGACUGCCCAAGCUCUCCAGCUUCCAACGUGGGUUGUGCAUUCUAAGUCUUCAACCAGAAUCCAUUCAGAAAGGCGAUGCGAACAAGAAAUCUCACAGCUGGACUAUGUAUUCUUGAGCCAAUUCUGUCUUCACUGUUAGAAAAGAGCUGAUAGGCCAGGGCUGGUGGCUCACGCCUGUAAUCCCAGCACUUCGGGAGGCAAAGGAGGGAGGAUCACUUGAGCCCAGAAGUUUGAGGCCAGCCUAGGCAACAUGGCAAAACUCUGUCUUUACAAAAAAAUUUAAAAAAUUAGCGGGGUGCAGUGGCAUGUGUCUGUGGUCUUAGCUACUCAGACGGAGGCUGAGGUGGGAGGAUGGCUUGAGCCCAGGAGGCAAAUGUUGCAGUGAGCCAAGACUGCACCAGUGCACUCCAGCCUGGGCAACAGAGUAAGACCCUGUCUCAAAAAAAAAAAAAAAAAAAAAAUAGAACAUAUAGGCCAGGCGCAGUGGCUCAUGCCUAUAAUCCCAGCACUUUGGGAGGCCGAAGCAGGUGGAUCACUUGAGAUCAGGAGUUUGAAGCCAGCCUGGCCAACAUGGUGAAACCCUGUCUCUGUUAAAAAUACGAAAAUUAUCCAGGAGUGGUGACAUGUGCCUGUAAUCCCAGCUACUAGGGAGGUUGAGGCACAGAAUCGUUUGAACCUAGGAGACAGAGGUUGCAGUGAGCUGAGAUUGUGCCACUGCACUCCAGCCUGGGUGACAGAGCGAGACUCCAUCUCAAAAAAAACACGAAAAAACUGUACAAUCUACCUGCCAGGUAGCAUAGGUGAGUACACACCUGCAAGGGAACUGUGUUCUGCUUCCAUCACUGAGUACAAAAGCCGAGGGGCACAAUGUAGCACAUAACCAUUAAGCAGCAUGAUUUUCAUUCAGUAAAUGUAUGCAGAGGGCCCUGUGUUUCCUGGGACUGCCCUGGGAACUAGGCUAGAGCAGUAAACAAGCAUUGUAGUGAAAUAAUAAUAAUGGUGAUGAUAAUCAUAGGAUGGUAGUAAAUUUUAAUUCCUGCUGGAAAGGAAUGAUAAUUAUAAUUCCUGGAGGGGGUGUCCCACGGAAGAUUCAAAUUAUGAUGCUGUUAUUUAGCUUCUGUUCUGAUAAGAGAAGUACUGCAGGUCACCCUGGUCAUCUUUUGGGAGGGUAGCAUCCCCUUGAAGAUGUGCUUGGAGGGUGGCCCAUGGGUUUCUGCUGCUGGGAAGAUGAGGACUGGAGUACCAUCAGACUGAUUCAAGCAGCAGAAGCCCCCUUGCCUGAGCUUAGAAAACCUGAGCAGAGGCCCCAAGAGCAUCUGUCACAUCCGCUAAGUUCAUGGGACUGGGCAGAACCAGCUGUCAAUGGCGCCACCGUGUGGUGGUGAGAAGCAAUGGCGGCUGCCCAAGGAUGAAAUUCCCAUGCUGACCCCACGGGUGUCAAAGUCAUCACUUCCUGUGACAGCUCCCUUUGGGGACUGUGGGUCCCUAGGUCUUCUGGAAAAUUCAGGGUAAGAGAAUACCCUUUAGGAAAAGCUACUGAGUUUUCUGUCAACAUCUACUAAUGUUCUCCCUGUGUUUGUGAAACAAUUCAUAUCACCUAAACUUUCACUAUGUACCAAUACAUAAAAUAUGUAUUAAUACAAUUAGAUGUACUUUGUUUGAAUAAAAAAUAGCACAUUG